RNAcentral lists this ribosomal RNA (580 nucleotides) under uncultured bacterium. RNAcentral describes it as "bacterial SSU rRNA". It matches the Rfam family "Bacterial small subunit ribosomal RNA", at positions 102 to 669 of the family's 1533-position model. The record is from RNAcentral.
ACGGGUGAGUAACACGUAGGCAACCUGCCCUCAAGUUUGGGACAACUACCGGAAACGGUAGCUAAUACCGAAUAGUUGUUUUCUUCGCCUGAAGGAAACUGGAAAGACGGAGCAAUCUGUCACUUGGGGAUGGGCCUGCGGCGCAUUAGCUAGUUGGUGGGGUAACGGCUCACCAAGGCGACGAUGCGUAGCCGACCUGAGAGGGUGAUCGGCCACACUGGGACUGAGACACGGCCCAGACUCCUACGGGAGGCAGCAGUAGGGAAUCUUCCGCAAUGGGCGAAAGCCUGACGGAGCAAUGCCGCGUGAGUGAUGAAGGCUUUCGGAUCGUAAAGCUCUGUUGCCAGGGAAGAACGCUUGGGAGAGUAACUGCUCUCAAGGUGACGGUACCUGAGAAGAAAGCCCCGGCUAACUACGUGCCAGCAGCCGCGGUAAUACGUAGGGGGCAAGCGUUGUCCGGAAUUAUUGGGCGUAAAGCGCGCGCAGGCGGUCAUUUAAGUCUGGUGUUUAAUCCCGGGGCUCAACCCCGGAUCGCACUGGAAACUGGGUGACUUGAGUGCAGAAGAGGAGAGUGGAAUUC